RNAcentral lists this small nuclear RNA (153 nucleotides) under Salvator merianae (Argentine black and white tegu). RNAcentral describes it as "U2 spliceosomal RNA (ENSSMRG00000012674.1)". The stretch from base 1 to 112 matches the Rfam family "U2 spliceosomal RNA". Rfam says of the family: U2 is a small nuclear RNA (snRNA) component of the spliceosome (involved in pre-mRNA splicing). Complementary binding between U2 snRNA (in an area lying towards the 5' end but 3' to hairpin I) and the branchpoint sequence (BPS) of the intron results the bulging out of an unpaired adenosine, on the BPS, which initiates a nucleophilic attack at the intronic 5' splice site, thus starting the first of two transesterification reactions that mediate splicing. The record is from RNAcentral. Lineage: Eukaryota; Metazoa; Chordata; Lepidosauria; Squamata; Teiidae.
GUCACUUCUCGGUCUUUUUGUCUAAGAUGAAGCAUAGUAUCUGUUCUUAUCAGUUUGAUAUCUGAUUACAUCUUGCAGUGCUUUCCCUCCCAAGGCUCCUGGGUGACUUUUCUGUUGCACACGAAAACACUGUGAAAAUGCAGCACAAGUCCG